Molecule: ribosomal RNA, 253 nt
Filed under: uncultured bacterium
Lineage: Bacteria
Description: partial 16S ribosomal RNA
Rfam family: Bacterial small subunit ribosomal RNA
Source: RNAcentral
UACGUAGGGUGCAGGCGUUAAUCGGAAUUACUGGGCGUAAAGCGUGCGCAGGCGGUUUGCUAAGACAGGUGUGAAAUCCCCGGGCUUAACCUGGGAACUGCGCUUGUUACUGGCAGGCUUGAGUGUGGCAGAGGGGGGUGGAAUUCCACGUGUAGCAGUGAAAUGCGUAGAGAUGUGGAGGAACACCGAUGGCGAAGGCAGCCCCCUGGGCCAACACUGACGCUCAGGCACGAAAGCGUGGGGAGCAAACAGG